This is a long non-coding RNA of Melanaphis sacchari, 671 nucleotides long. RefSeq lists it as uncharacterized. The transcript is spliced from 4 exons. Lineage: Eukaryota; Metazoa; Arthropoda; Insecta; Hemiptera; Aphididae. The record is from RefSeq and is a predicted model, not a curated record.
AUAUUCACGUUCAUCUCCGUCACAAUGUACGUCUACAGAUAUGAAACUGAGAAACCGUUAGGUGAGGAGGAGAAUGACGACAGUAAUAACAAAAAACGGUAUUUAGCGUAAUUGAAUAUUCCAAUCAAGGAUAUCAGUGACAUCAUUUGAUUUAAGUUUAUUAAGAAUCAAAAACCGUUUAAUUUUAUUUUUUAAAUGUACACUGUAACGACAACGACAAUUCGGGAUUGCGAAUCGCACAAUACUAAUAAUUAUAAGUUGAUACUAGGUAAAUGCUUAAAAUGUUUACGAAUUUAAUAGUGAAUUUAAAUUUCCAACUAAACUUUAUCUCGAAAAUUUUGUAAGCAACGAAUUUAUCGAUACCUAUUUUUCAAUAUUAUUUUUACCUAUUGUAUAUCGACUAGUGCGAUAGUCCUAAUGAUAUUUUAUUGACGUCGCCGUCUUGAUACAGAUAAAUUAUUAUAGUGUUAUGAUAAUAUUAUGCUAUUGUAAAAACGUGUAUAAGUGUCUGAAUAUAUAAUUUUUAAUAUUAUUGGUAUUUUUCUAGAGAUUAGCUGGGUAGGCCCGGGCCUACCAGGCCUACCUACUGGCUACGCCCCUGGAAGUCGCAAUUAAAUUGUGACCACUAUUUUUAUAUUUAUUUAAAGUUUUAAAGUAUAGUUUUAUACAUA